UGUUUCUUCUUGCAGACAUUCAGUGGUGUAAUGGUUGCAGGAUGACCAAUUUCAUCUACCCUUCAAGCAGCAACACAAGAAACUUUUUGCAAACCACUCAGCAACAAUUUUGCAAACCACACUCAACUUUUUGAGUCCAAAAAGCUUCAAAAACCCACUUCUUGUUUACCCGAGAAGUUGUGCUGAGAAUAUAAAGACUAAACAUCACUAUCCUAGUCCCUUUAUUAAUCUGGGGUUGCCACAAUGGAACGGACCACCAACUUAUCCAGCAUAUGUUUUACGCAGCGGAUGCCCUUCCGCCUGCAACCCAUUACUGGGAAACACUCAUUCACACUCAUUCACAGACAUACACUACGGUCAAUUUUAGCUUACCCAAUUCACCUGUACCGUAUGUCUUUGGACUUGUGGGGGAAACCAGAGCACCCGGAGGAAAAACCCAAACAAACGCAGGGAGAACAUUCACACUCCAAAAAGAAAAUGCCAACUGACCCAACCAAGGCUCGAACCAGCGACUUUCUUGCUGUGAGACGACUACCUACUGCCCUACCGUGUCGCCGUAACUAAAAUUACUAAAUGUAAAAUAAAUAAAGCACAUAGGCAUAAAUCUAUGAUUAAAUAAAAAAAUUUGAUUGAAUUAA
This is a long non-coding RNA of Danio aesculapii, 638 nucleotides long. RefSeq lists it as uncharacterized. The record is from RefSeq and is a predicted model, not a curated record. Lineage: Eukaryota; Metazoa; Chordata; Actinopteri; Cypriniformes; Danionidae. The transcript is spliced from 2 exons.